Molecule: long non-coding RNA, 516 nt
Organism: Pseudoliparis swirei
Lineage: Eukaryota; Metazoa; Chordata; Actinopteri; Perciformes; Liparidae
Exons: 3
Source: RefSeq, a predicted model, not a curated record
GCGGUGGAUGCUCCACGUUGUUGCCCUUCGACUUUUCAAACUGGUAUUUUCAAAACUGCAGCUCUUUGCGCCAGAAGUACGAGUUAGUUGUACAGAAGUGACAACACUGUUGUUCGCCAUCUCUACAAUUCAGAUAAAAUGAACAGAAAGAAUGGGCCUGUCUCCAGCUCCACCAUUAGACGGAGGGUCCGUCAAGAUGUUUUGACUACAUCACUGUGAUUGAUGGGAAACUGAAUACAACUUUGACUGUUCAGUAAAGUUUCUUCUCUUCAAUGUGUAUAACACGCCUAUUAUUGCCGUUUAAUCUCUUUUUUUUACGGUAUACCUCGUGUUGUCAAACACACAUUUUCAUACUCCUGGUUAUUAAGAACUUUAAUAGUUGCAAAAUAUUAUUUUUUUCAAAGUUCUUGGAACAGAAGGUUAUAUUUCUGUGACAAGUGACACUGUUUGUUUCUUUCCUCUGUAAUUCAGGAUGUUCCACUUCAUAGAAUUCUUGACUAACAAAACGGUAGCAGU